RNAcentral lists this ribosomal RNA (1489 nucleotides) under Lactiplantibacillus pentosus. Its description in RNAcentral is "bacterial SSU rRNA". It matches the Rfam family "Bacterial small subunit ribosomal RNA". The record is from RNAcentral. Lineage: Bacteria; Bacillati; Bacillota; Bacilli; Lactobacillales; Lactobacillaceae.
GACGAACGCUGGCGGCGUGCCUAAUACAUGCAAGUCGAACGAACUCUGGUAUUGAUUGGUGCUUGCAUCAUGAUUUACAUUUGAGUGAGUGGCGAACUGGUGAGUAACACGUGGGAAACCUGCCCAGAAGCGGGGGAUAACACCUGGAAACAGAUGCUAAUACCGCAUAACAGCUUGGACCGCAUGGUCCGAGUUUGAAAGAUGGCUUCGGCUAUCACUUUUGGAUGGUCCCGCGGCGUAUUAGCUAGAUGGUGGGGUAACGGCUCACCAUGGCAAUGAUACGUAGCCGACCUGAGAGGGUAAUCGGCCACAUUGGGACUGAGACACGGCCCAAACUCCUACGGGGGGCAGCAGUAGGGAAUCUUCCACAAUGGACGAAAGUCUGAUGGAGCAACGCCGCGUGAGUGAAGAAGGGUUUCGGCUCGUAAAACUCUGUUGUUGAAGAAGAACAUAUCUGAGAGUAACUGUUCAGGUAUUGACGGUAUUUAACCAGAAAGCCACGGCUAACUACGUGCCAGCAGCCGCGGUAAUACGUAGGUGGCAAGCGUUGUCCGGAUUUAUUGGGCGUAAAGCGAGCGCAGGCGGUUUUUUAAGUCUGAUGUGAAAGCCUUCGGCUCAACCGAAGAAGUGCAUCGGAAACUGGGAAACUUGAGUGCAGAAGAGGACAGUGGAACUCCAUGUGUAGCGGUGAAAUGCGUAGAUAUAUGGAAGAACACCAGUGGCGAAGGCGGCUGUCUGGUCUGUAACUGACGCUGAGGCUCGAAAGUAUGGGUAGCAAACAGGAUUAGAUACCCUGGUAGUCCAUACCGUAAACGAUGAAUGCUAAGUGUUGGAGGGUUUCCGCCCUUCAGUGCUGCAGCUAACGCAUUAAGCAUUCCGCCUGGGGAGUACGGCCGCAAGGCUGAAACUCAAAGGAAUUGACGGGGGCCCGCACAAGCGGUGGAGCAUGUGGUUUAAUUCGAAGCUACGCGAAGAACCUUACCAGGUCUUGACAUACUAUGCAAAUCUAAGAGAUUAGACGUUCCCUUCGGGGACAUGGAUACAGGUGGUGCAUGGUUGUCGUCAGCUCGUGUCGUGAGAUGUUGGGUUAAGUCCCGCAACGAGCGCAACCCUUAUUAUCAGUUGCCAGCAUUAAGUUGGGCACUCUGGUGAGACUGCCGGUGACAAACCGGAGGAAGGUGGGGAUGACGUCAAAUCAUCAUGCCCCUUAUGACCUGGGCUACACACGUGCUACAAUGGAUGGUACAACGAAUUGCGAACUCGCGAGAGUAAGCUAAUCUCUUAAAGCCAUUCUCAGUUCGGAUUGUAGGCUGCAACUCGCCUACAUGAAGUCGGAAUCGCUAGUAAUCGCGGAUCAGCAUGCCGCGGUGAAUACGUUCCCGGGCCUUGUACACACCGCCCGUCACACCAUGAGAGUUUGUAACACCCAAAGUCGGUGGGGUAACCUUUUAGGAACCAGCCGCCUAAGGUGGGACAGAUGAUUAGGGUG